AUUGAACGCUGGCGGCAUGCCUUACACAUGCAAGUCGAACGGUAACAGGUCUUCGGAUGCUGACGAGUGGCGAACGGGUGAGUAAUACAUCGGAACGUGCCCGAUCGUGGGGGAUAACGAGGCGAAAGCUUUGCUAAUACCGCAUACGAUCUACGGAUGAAAGCGGGGGAUCUUCGGACCUCGCGCGGACGGAGCGGCCGAUGGCAGAUUAGGUAGUUGGUGGGAUAAAAGCUUACCAAGCCGACGAUCUGUAGCUGGUCUGAGAGGAUGAUCAGCCACACUGGGACUGAGACACGGCCCAGACUCCUACGGGAGGCAGCAGUGGGGAAUUUUGGACAAUGGGCGAAAGCCUGAUCCAGCCAUGCCGCGUGAAGGAUGAAGGCCUUCGGGUUGUAAACUGCUUUUGUACGGAACGAAAAGCCUCUUUCUAAUAAAGAGGGGUCAUGACGGUACCGUAAGAAUAAGCACCGGCUAACUACGUG
Molecule: ribosomal RNA, 482 nt
Filed under: uncultured bacterium
Lineage: Bacteria
Description: partial 16S ribosomal RNA
Rfam family: Bacterial small subunit ribosomal RNA
Source: RNAcentral